GAUGAACGCUGGCGGCGUGCCUAAUACAUGCAAGUCGAACGAACGGAUGAGAAGCUUGCUUCUCUGAUGUUAGAGGCGGACGGGUGAGUACCACGUGGUUAACCUAACUAUAAGACUGAGAUAACUUUGGGGAACCGGGGCUAAUACCGGAUGAUUUUUUGAACUGCAUUGUUCAAAAGUGAAAGACGGUCUUGCUGUCACUUAUAGAUGGAUCAGCGCUGCAUUAGCUAGUUGGUAAGGUAACGGCUUACCAAGGCAACGAUGCAUAGCCGACCUGAGAGGGUGAUCGGCCACACGGGAACUGAGACACGGUCCAGACUCCUACGGGAGGCAGCAGUAGGGAAUCUUCCGCAAUGGACGAAAGCCUGACGGAGCAACGCCGAGUGAGUGAUGAAGGUCUUCGGAUCGUAAAACUCUGUUAUUAGGGAAGAACAUAUGUGUAAGUAACUGUGCACAUCUUGACGGUACCUAAUCAGAAAGCCACGGCUAACUACGUG
RNAcentral lists this ribosomal RNA (497 nucleotides) under uncultured bacterium. Its description in RNAcentral is "partial 16S ribosomal RNA". It matches the Rfam family "Bacterial small subunit ribosomal RNA", at positions 28 to 507 of the family's 1533-position model. The record is from RNAcentral.